Molecule: ribosomal RNA, 490 nt
Filed under: uncultured bacterium
Lineage: Bacteria
Description: partial 16S ribosomal RNA
Rfam family: Bacterial small subunit ribosomal RNA
Source: RNAcentral
AUUGAACGCUGGCGGCAGGCCUAACACAUGCCAGUCGAACGGUAACAGAAAGCAGCUUGCUGCUUUGCUGACGAGUGGCGGACGGGUGAGUAAUGUCUGGGAAACUGCCUGAUGGAGGGGGAUAACUACUGGAAACGGUAGCUAAUACCGCAUAACGUCGCAAGACCAAAGAGGGGGACCUUCGGGCCUCUUGCCAUCGGAUGUGCCCAGAUGGGAUUAGCUAGUAGGUGGGGUAACGGCUCACCUAGGCGACGAUCCCUAGCUGGUCUGAGAGGAUGACCAGCCACACUGGAACUGAGACACGGUCCAGACUCCUACGGGAGGCAGCAGUGGGGAAUAUUGCACAAUGGGCGCAAGCCUGAUGCAGCCAUGCCGCGUGUAUGAAGAAGGCCUUCGGGUUGUAAAGUACUUUCGGAGGGGAGGAAGGGAGUAAAGUUAAUACCUUUGCUCAUUGACGUUACCCGAAGAAGAAGCACCGGCUAACUACGUG